AUACGUAGGGGGCAAGCGUUGUCCGGAUUUACUGGGGUGUAAAGGGUGCUCAGGCGGGUUUGUAAGUCAGAGGUGAAACUCCGGAGCUUAACUCCGGAACUGCCUUUGAUACUGCAUCCCUAGAGUUUGAGAGAGGCGAGUGGAAUAUCUGGUGUAGCAGUGAAAUGCGUAGAUAUCAGAUAGAACACCAAUGGCGAAGGCAGCUCGCUGGCUCAAUACUGACGCUAAAGCACGAAAGUGUGGGGUAGC
RNAcentral lists this ribosomal RNA (249 nucleotides) under uncultured bacterium. RNAcentral describes it as "partial 16S ribosomal RNA". It matches the Rfam family "Bacterial small subunit ribosomal RNA", at positions 523 to 769 of the family's 1533-position model. The record is from RNAcentral.